UCCGUAGGUGAACCUGCGGAAGGAUCAUUAAAAAUAUCACAUUUGUUGUGAUUUAAUAUCAUCCUACCUUUGUGAAUUGUUUUGUUUGAAAUUUAUGUUGUCUAUCCUGAUUAUGAAAGAAAGUUGUAAAGACUUUUUUUCAUUCUAGGAAUAGCUUUCAUAGACAUUUUUUAAAUUAAACUUUUUGUAUUCAUUGUCUAAAUUUAUUUUAAAUAGUUUAAAACAACUUUUGACAAUGGAUCUCUUGUUCUCGCAACGAUGAAGAACGCAGCAAAAUGCGAUAAGUAAUGUGAUUGCAGAAUACGUGAAUCAUCAAAUUUCGAACGCAUAUUGCACUUUUUAGUUUACUAAAAAGUAUGUCUGUUUGAGUAUCAGUAAAUAUUCUCAUAAAACUAUUGUUUUAUGGUUAUGAGUGUUUUACAACGAUAACAAGUUGUUUCACUUUAAUUGAUUUUUAAAAGCCAAUUUGGUUUUAUUUUAAAUGGACAAAUUUCCCGUAAAAGGAAUAACUUUCAGUUUAAAGUAAAACUUAAUUGACCUACAAAAAGGAAUUAAUUAUAAACUAACUUGAUCUCAAAUCAGAUAAGAGUACCGCUGAACUAAGCAUAUCAAUAAGCGAGGAAAGAAACUAACAAGGAUUCCUUAGUAACGGCGAGUGAAGCGGAAGGCUCAAUUUGAAAUCUUCAAGGUUCUACCUUGACGAAUUGUAGUUUAAAGAAGUGUUUCUGUUAGUGGAGUGGCAAAGUUCUUUGGAAUAGACAUCAUAGAGGUGAGAAUCCGUAUUUGGUCAUUCCUUCUAGCUUGUGAUACACUUUCAAAGAGUCGGAUUUUGGGAAUGCAGUCCAAAUGGUGGUAAUUCAUCUAAAGCUAAUAUUGGCGAGAGACGAUAGCGAACAGUACCGUGAGGAAAGAUGAAAGAACUUGAAAGAGAGUUAACAGUACGUGAAUUGUCAAAGGGAAGCGUUUGACACCAGUGUUGUUUUCCGAAAAUCAAUUAUAAAUGUUUGUUUCUGAGGAGUGAUGACUUCAUCGGCUUCCUUCUCUCUUCACGAACUUUGUAAUGCACUUUCGGUUAACAAGUCAACAUCAAUUUCUUUGUUGUAAAAGAGUAUUCGGAAGGUGGCUUCUUUUCGGAGAAAGUGUUUAUAGCCUAUACUUCUACAAUCGGAGAGAUUGAGGUCUGCAGCGUAGAUCCUUCGGGUUAGAUACACUUGUGCUAAGUUAUAGCUUUCAUAGACAACUUGUUGACUAUGUUAGUCUUGUAGCUUACUCGCUUGUGCUAUUUACCUACGCUUAGGAUGUU
RNAcentral lists this unclassified non-coding RNA (1303 nucleotides) under uncultured Neocallimastigales. Its description in RNAcentral is "partial contains small subunit ribosomal RNA, internal transcribed spacer 1, 5.8S ribosomal RNA, internal transcribed spacer 2, and large subunit ribosomal RNA". The stretch from base 569 to 1303 matches the Rfam family "Eukaryotic large subunit ribosomal RNA", at positions 1 to 627 of the family's 3401-position model. Lineage: Eukaryota; Fungi; Neocallimastigomycota; Neocallimastigomycetes; Neocallimastigales. The record is from RNAcentral.